GGCCAGGUAGCUCAGUUGGUAGAGCAGCGGACUGAAAAUCCGCGUGUCGAUGGUUCGAUUCCGUCCCUGGCCACCA
Molecule: transfer RNA, 76 nt
Filed under: Candidatus Competibacter phosphatis
Lineage: Bacteria; Pseudomonadati; Pseudomonadota; Gammaproteobacteria; Candidatus Competibacteraceae
Also listed under: 25 other names
Description: tRNA-Phe
Rfam family: tRNA
About the family: Transfer RNA (tRNA) molecules are approximately 80 nucleotides in length.
Source: RNAcentral